UUUACUAUUGUUUCGACUUAUCUCAAAUUAUGAGAAUGACGGGCGAUAUGUACCUAUAUUAAUUUUAUUUUUAAUUUAGUUAAUUAAAUUAAUUUUAAUAUUAAAUUCUUUUUUUUAUAAAAUUAAAAAUUUUAUAAAUAAUUUUUUAUAAAAUGUAAUACUUUUAUUCUUAAAUAUUAGUUAUAUUAUGAUUUGAAUUAUUAUUUAUAUUAAUAUCUUAAUUACUUAUUUUAAAAUUAAAUUUUUAAACAACAAUAUAUAAACAUAAUUUAAGUGAUUUUUUUAGUUUAUUAUCUAUUAAUAAAUAUAUUCCUCUAAUAAAAAUAAUAUACAGUCAAAUUUUUUAAAUUUAGUGAUUUAUCAUUUAAUUUUUUAAUAUAAUAUUUUGUUUUAAUAAUAGGGUAUCUAAUCCCUAGUUUAAA
This 422-nucleotide ribosomal RNA is filed under the name Diachasmimorpha longicaudata. Its description in RNAcentral is "partial 12S ribosomal RNA". The record is from RNAcentral. Lineage: Eukaryota; Metazoa; Arthropoda; Insecta; Hymenoptera; Braconidae.